GGCGUAGCUCAGGGGCACGGCAUCCACCUUGCAUGCAGACGGUCCCAGGUUCAAUUCUCGGCAUCUCCA
RNAcentral lists this transfer RNA (69 nucleotides) under Podarcis lilfordi (Lilford's wall lizard). Its description in RNAcentral is "tRNA.Ala". The record is from RNAcentral. Lineage: Eukaryota; Metazoa; Chordata; Lepidosauria; Squamata; Lacertidae.